Molecule: ribosomal RNA, 443 nt
Filed under: uncultured bacterium
Lineage: Bacteria
Description: partial 16S ribosomal RNA
Rfam family: Bacterial small subunit ribosomal RNA
Source: RNAcentral
CCUACGGGGGGCAGCAGUGGGGAAUAUUGGGCAAUGGGCGCAAGCCUGAUGCAGCAACGCCGCGUGAAGGAAGAAGGCUUUCGGGUUGUAAACUUCUUUUCUCAGGGACGAAGAAAGUGACGGUACCUGAGGAAUAAGCCACGGCUAACUACGUGCCAGCAGCCGCGGUAAUACGGAGGUGGCAAGCGUUAGCCGGAUUUACUGGGGGUAAAGGGCGUGUAGGCGGGACUGCAAGUCAGAUGUGAAAACCACGGGCUCAACCUGUGGCCUGCAUUUGAAACUGUAGGUCUUGAGUACUGGAGAGGCAGUCGGAAUUCCUAGUGUAGCGGUGAAAUGCGUAGAUAUUAGGAGGAACACCAGUGGCGAAGGCGGUCUGCUGGACAGCAACUGACGCUGAGGCGCGAAAGCGUGGGGAGCAAACAGGAUUAGAUACCCUUGUAGUC